RNAcentral lists this ribosomal RNA (2262 nucleotides) under Salmonella enterica subsp. enterica serovar Typhi. Its description in RNAcentral is "partial 23S ribosomal RNA". It matches the Rfam family "Bacterial large subunit ribosomal RNA", at positions 687 to 2925 of the family's 2925-position model. The record is from RNAcentral. Lineage: Bacteria; Pseudomonadati; Pseudomonadota; Gammaproteobacteria; Enterobacterales; Enterobacteriaceae.
ACCGGGCGUUAAGUUGCAGGGUAUAGACCCGAAACCCGGUGAUCUAGCCAUGGGCAGGUUGAAGGUUGGGUAACACUAACUGGAGGACCGAACCGACUAAUGUUGAAAAAUUAGCGGAUGACCUGUGGCUGGGGGUGAAAGGCCAAUCAAACCGGGAGAUAGCUGGUUCUCCCCGAAAGCUAUUUAGGUAGCGCCUCGUGAAUUCAUCUCCGGGGGUAGAGCACUGUUUCGGCUAGGGGGCCAUCCCGGCUUACCAACCCGAUGCAAACUGCGAAUACCGGAGAAUGUUAUCACGGGAGACACACGGCGGGUGCUAAUGUCCGUCGUGAAGAGGGAAACAACCCAGACCGCCAGCUAAGGUCCCAAAGUCAUGGUUAAGUGGGAAACGAUGUGGGAAGGCCCAGACAGCCAGGAUGUUGGCUUAGAAGCAGCCAUCAUUUAAAGAAAGCGUAAUAGCUCACUGGUCGAGUCGGCCUGCGCGGAAGAUGUAACGGGGCUAAACCAUGCACCGAAGCUGCGGCAGCGACACCGUGUGUUGUUGGGUAGGGGAGCGUUCUGUAAGCCUGUGAAGGUGUGCUGUGAGGCAUGCUGGAGGUAUCAGAAGUGCGAAUGCUGACAUAAGUAACGAUAAAGCGGGUGAAAAGCCCGCUCGCCGGAAGACCAAGGGUUCCUGUCCAACGUUAAUCGGGGCAGGGUGAGUCGACCCCUAAGGCGAGGCCGAAAGGCGUAGUCGAUGGGAAACGGGUUAAUAUUCCCGUACUUGGUGUUACUGCGAAGGGGGGACGGAGAAGGCUAUGUUGGCCGGGCGACGGUUGUCCCGGUUUAAGCGUGUAGGUAUGUGUUCCAGGUAAAUCCGGUUCACUUUAACACUGAGGCGUGACGACGAGGCACUACGGUGCUGAAGCAACAAAUGCCCUGCUUCCAGGAAAAGCCUCUAAGCAUCAGGUAACAUCAAAUCGUACCCCAAACCGACACAGGUGGUCAGGUAGAGAAUACCAAGGCGCUUGAGAGAACUCGGGUGAAGGAACUAGGCAAAAUGGUGCCGUAACUUCGGGAGAAGGCACGCUGACACGUAGGUGAAGUGAUUUACUCACGGAGCUGAAGUCAGCCGAAGAUACCAGCUGGCUGCAACUGUUUAUUAAAAACACAGCACUGUGCAAACACGAAAGUGGACGUAUACGGUGUGACGCCUGCCCGGUGCCGGAAGGUUAAUUGAUGGGGUCAGCGCAAGCGAAGCUCCUGAUCGAAGCCCCGGUAAACGGCGGCCGUAACUAUAACGGUCCUAAGGUAGCGAAAUUCCUUGUCGGGUAAGUUCCGACCUGCACGAAUGGCGUAAUGAUGGCCAGGCUGUCUCCACCCGAGACUCAGUGAAAUUGAACUCGCUGUGAAGAUGCAGUGUACCCGCGGCAAGACGGAAAGACCCCGUGAACCUUUACUAUAGCUUGACACUGAACAUUGAGCCUUGAUGUGUAGGAUAGGUGGGAGGCUUUGAAGUGUGGACGCCAGUCUGCAUGGAGCCGACCUUGAAAUACCACCCUUUAAUGUUUGAUGUUCUAACGUGGACCCGUGAUCCGGGUUGCGGACAGUGUCUGGUGGGUAGUUUGACUGGGGCGGUCUCCUCCUAAAGAGUAACGGAGGAGCACGAAGGUUGGCUAAUCCUGGUCGGACAUCAGGAGGUUAGUGCAAUGGCAUAAGCCAGCUUGACUGCGAGCGUGACGGCGCGAGCAGGUGCGAAAGCAGGUCAUAGUGAUCCGGUGGUUCUGAAUGGAAGGGCCAUCGCUCAACGGAUAAAAGGUACUCCGGGGAUAACAGGCUGAUACCGCCCAAGAGUUCAUAUCGACGGCGGUGUUUGGCACCUCGAUGUCGGCUCAUCACAUCCUGGGGCUGAAGUAGGUCCCAAGGGUAUGGCUGUUCGCCAUUUAAAGUGGUACGCGAGCUGGGUUUAGAACGUCGUGAGACAGUUCGGUCCCUAUCUGCCGUGGGCGCUGGAGAACUGAGGGGGGCUGCUCCUAGUACGAGAGGACCGGAGUGGACGCAUCACUGGUGUUCGGGUUGUCAUGCCAAUGGCACUGCCCGGUAGCUAAAUGCGGAAGAGAUAAGUGCUGAAAGCAUCUAAGCACGAAACUUGCCCCGAGAUGAGUUCUCCCUGAGACUUUAGGUCUCCUGAAGGAACGUUGAAGACGACGACGUUGAUAGGCCGGGUGUGUAAGCGCAGCGAUGCGUUGAGCUAACCGGUACUAAUGAACCGUGAGGCUUAACCUU